AAAAGAAUAGAAAGAAAAGAGCCUUCUUUUUCUGUGUUCUCACAUGGUAGAAAGAGAAGGGAACUCUCUGGAACCUCUUUCAUAAGGGCACUAACCCCAUUCAUGAGGGCCUUGCUCUCAUAACACAAUCACCUCCCAAAGACCCCACAUCCCAAUAGCAGCACUGUGGGGACCAGGAUUUAACAAAUGAAUUGGAGGGGACACAAAUACUUGGUCCAUAGCCUUGCACAGGCUGCUUCCAUGGGGGCAACACCCUCAAUAAAAGGCACAGCACGUUUCCAAGUUAUAAUUGCACAACUUGGAAAGUGAGCUGAGGAAGCAAAAAAGAAACAAGAAAUGGAUAUCUAGAGCUCUCAGAGGAUGCCUCAGGCAAUCAGACUCUCUCGAGCUCUCUAGCUGGCUCCUGGUUCCAUAAGACCAGACUAUUUGAUCUACCUUGUUUCAUCAUACGUUCUCAAUCAUUGGCUUUAAGAAGCCAUCUCAAAUGCACACUGAGGCUUCAAAGGAACUGUCAGCAGCCUGCGAGUUUUCCUUCCACAAGGGACAGAGGAGACAUUGAAACAUUCAGUCAACAGUGUUUGCCACUCAAAGAGCUUUGAUACAAGGAACAGGAUAUCAAGAUCAAAAUUCCGCCCAAGCUUGGCAUUCAAAGCGCUCAGACUUGACAAUUCCUGACUGAAUGCCACCAACAUCUCAACUAAAGCCCUCUGGGGGCUGGGACACAAAGCUGUUGACACGGCAAGAUAUGACUUUGAUAAUUCCUCUGGGCUCAUCUUGGUGACUCUAUCUUAAUACAGUGUGUUUCAUUUAAAACAAAAGAAGUCACACACAAGCAUCAAGAUAUUCUGAACCUGAUAGGUACCAUAGACCAGACCGGGAGCAUGAGACUUGCUCACUUUUUCAAUAAGAAUGUCCCCCUCAGAGGCUGCUCCUAUACAAACUAACCAGUUGUUAGCUUGUCAGAGUUGCUGAUAGCACAGGCUUCCCCUUAGAAUUACCGGCAUUUUCCACCCUAACCCUUCAGCAAAGAAAUUUGGUGGCUGGCAGACAGAAAUGAGUUAAAACUAGUAAGUCUAUCUUUGGCCUGUUCCCUAGGAAAAACACUGAUAUUAUUUGUUCCAAGUAUUUAUAAUGAGGUCUCUAAAAUAUUUUUUUCCCUCUCUCUCCCUCACUCUUUGUCUCCUUCUCCCUGCUAAUGGAGAAAUCUCAAAAUGUUUAUGAACUCUGAGAGCUGAGUGCUGCCCAGGCCUCCCACCCACCCGACAUCCUUCCACACACACACUUAUGGCUUUGGUCAGCUGUCAGAUGAUAUGACAAAAAGCUUAGCAGACAUCUGUUCAUGGAUUAAUGGCCAUGGUAUUUCUUUCACUAUCAAAGAUAAAUUGCUAGACAGCUGUAUUAAAAACCACAGCACAGUUCUCGACACUGGUGAUGCACAGACGAGAUGACCAAUUUUCUAAAUGGGGUCACGAAGAACAUUCUUAUUUCGGGAGCCAUUUUUUCCCAGUGAGAAAAGAUGGAAAGCAAUAACAAGGACUGCUGUGCAAACUUCAAAUUCAAAAGGGUCCAAGCUUCCUUUCUGGCUGCUGAUAAUGACAUGUUAUUUGAAGAUUGUUCUGGCAGUCAGAGUUUACAAAAAGAAAAAGGAUCAGAGAGUGAAUGCUUUGCUUUGCCAACGCGGCUCCUGUAAAUGGUAUGAAAAGCGUAUUUUCCAAACUCAGACUCAGUUAGGUUCCUAAGGAAGUGGGCCUGUACUCGUGACUUUGGUCAGCUUGUGAAACGAUGUAAUAAAAGAAUAUCACAUAAUAUUUAUCUGAGGAGUAAAUAAGAUAAAAUAUACCAACAGUCCAGCAUGUGGUUGGCUCUAAAAGGCUAGUUCCCUGGCCUUUUGGCCUUCGGAAGUCCCCUUUAAGCUGAUCCUCACUGGCACCAAGCAUGUGAAUACCUGUGUUAGGUCCUCUUGGCUGCAUUGCCAAGUUUUCUCAGCUAGAUGUUUGAUGAAGACAGUCAGAAUGUGGCAUUUAUAAAUAUGUUUAAAAUCAAUGAGAGAUUUCUAAAGCAGAUAUUAUAUAAAACAAAUACUAGAAUCGUUCAUCAGUUCUUAAGAAGGAAGUAAGCUCAUCAGUUUUUAAGAAGGAAGUGACAUAAAAACACAGUUAGGGCCGGGCGCGGUGGCUCACGCCUGUAAUCCCAGCACUUUGGGAGGCCAAGGCAGGCAGAUCACGAGGUCAGGAGAUCAAGACCAUCCUGGCCAACAUGAUGAAACCCCAUCUCCACUAAAAAUACAAAAAUUAGCUGGGCAUGGUGGCACCUGCUUGUAAUCCCAGCUACUUGGGAAGCUGAGGCAGGAAAAUUACUUGAACCAGCGAGUCGGAGGUUGCAGUGAGCCGAGAUGGUGCCACUGCACUCCAGCCUGGCGAGAGAGCAAGACUCCAUCUAAAAAAAAAAAAAAAAAAAAAAAAAAAAAAAAAAAUCACACACAGAAGCCAGAAAUAGAAAAGCAACAGAGCAGAAAACUUGGGUAAAGCACGACCAGCCAGCAUUUAUUUGGAUGGCUCCCUGACAGAGACCAGGCCUGAGGAACCCUCCCAGGACGAGAGGUGACGGAUACACAACCAGACCAGGAGCCCAGAUUCCAGCACUAGACCCUCAUAUGACCCGUGACACUGAGAAAGUUACUAGCAUGGCCCGACGUCAAUAUCCUUGUUGGUGAAAUGAAGAAAAUCAACUAAUCAUCAAGAUCUUUCCAUUUCUCAACUGUCCAUGAAAUAAUAGUUCAGUAAAAAUAGCAGCAGACUGAAUGACAAAUUGAAUAUGGAUUUCAAAGAAACAGAAGGUUUUGAGGCUAGAAAUCUGCCUGAGAGAUCGUGAUGAGGGGCCAGACUGUGAGCUCAGCUUCCCAUAUAGGCAGGUUCAAUAUGGAGCUCAGCACAUAUAGGCAGGUUCAAUAUGGAGCUCAGUACAAAACAAACGCCAUGAAGAGAUCAUUAAAAAAAAAAAAAAAGACAAA
Molecule: long non-coding RNA, 3010 nt
Organism: Pan troglodytes (chimpanzee)
Lineage: Eukaryota; Metazoa; Chordata; Mammalia; Primates; Hominidae
Exons: 2
Source: RefSeq, a predicted model, not a curated record